This 555-nucleotide ribosomal RNA is filed under the name uncultured bacterium. RNAcentral's name for it is "partial 16S ribosomal RNA". It matches the Rfam family "Bacterial small subunit ribosomal RNA", at positions 355 to 902 of the family's 1533-position model. The record is from RNAcentral.
UGGGGAAUUUUGGACAAUGGGCGAAAGCCUGAUCCAGCCAUGCCGCGUGCAGGAUGAAGGCCUUCGGGUUGUAAACUGCUUUUGUACGGAACGAAAAGCCUCUUUCUAAUAAAGAGAGGUCAUGACGGUACCGUAAGAAUAAGCACCGGCUAACUACGUGCCAGCAGCCGCGGUAAUACGUAGGGUGCAAGCGUUAAUCGGAAUUACUGGGCGUAAAGCGUGCGCAGGCGGUUUUGUAAGACAGAGGUGAAAUCCCCGGGCUCAACCUGGGAACUGCCUUUGUGACUGCAAGGCUGGAGUGCGGCAGAGGGGGAUGGAAUUCCGCGUGUAGCAGUGAAAUGCGUAGAUAUGCGGAGGAACACCGAUGGCGAAGGCAAUCCCCUGGGCCUGCACUGACGCUCAUGCACGAAAGCGUGGGGAGCAAACAGGAUUAGAUACCCCUGGUAGUCCACGCCCUAAACGAUGUCAACUGGUUGUUGGGUCUUCACUGACUCAGUAACGAAGCUAACGCGUGAAGUUGACCGCCUGGGGAGUACGGCCGCAAGGUUGAAACUU